Molecule: unclassified non-coding RNA, 307 nt
Filed under: Hevea brasiliensis (rubber tree)
Lineage: Eukaryota; Viridiplantae; Streptophyta; Magnoliopsida; Malpighiales; Euphorbiaceae
Source: RNAcentral
GGAGCAUCCCCAUGGUGGUGGUAACCAUCAACACAUUGGUCAUGCCAGUACAGUCCGUCGUGAUGCACCUCCUGGACAAAAGGUUGGUCUUAUUGCUGCAAGGAGGACUGGUCGUCUUCGUGGUCAAGCCGCUGCUACUGCAGCCAAGGCUGACAAGGCUUAAGCCAUUCACUUGUUACUUUUCUAUCUUGUUAUUUUAUCCUGAUCAAUUUUUGAGUAUUCAGUUAAAAACCCAUUUUGCAGUAAAGUUAUAACAUGCUAAAUUUUGUUGGGAUGUUUAGUAAGUUUUGUUUUCAUGAUGAUCCUU